UAGUUAUACCAAAUAUUAUAGCCAUUGC
Molecule: small RNA, 28 nt
Filed under: Bombyx mori (domestic silkworm)
Lineage: Eukaryota; Metazoa; Arthropoda; Insecta; Lepidoptera; Bombycidae
Description: ovarian small RNA-23118
Source: RNAcentral